GCUGGGUGUGGUGGUGCACACCCGUAGUCCCAGCUACUCGGUAGGCUGAGGCGAGAGGAUUGCUUGAGCCCAGGAGUUUGAGGCUGCAGUGAGCCGUGAUUGCCACUGCACUCGAGCCUGGCCAACAGAGCAAGACCCUGUCUCAA
RNAcentral lists this non-coding RNA (146 nucleotides) under Nomascus leucogenys (northern white-cheeked gibbon). Lineage: Eukaryota; Metazoa; Chordata; Mammalia; Primates; Hylobatidae. The record is from Rfam by way of RNAcentral.